CAUGCCCAGACGCCGGAAAUUGCACCUGCGCAGAAGCUAUUUUCAGCGUCUGGGCAUG
Molecule: microRNA precursor, 58 nt
Filed under: Podarcis lilfordi (Lilford's wall lizard)
Lineage: Eukaryota; Metazoa; Chordata; Lepidosauria; Squamata; Lacertidae
Source: RNAcentral